RNAcentral lists this ribosomal RNA (253 nucleotides) under uncultured bacterium. RNAcentral describes it as "partial 16S ribosomal RNA". It matches the Rfam family "Bacterial small subunit ribosomal RNA", at positions 524 to 776 of the family's 1533-position model. The record is from RNAcentral.
UACGUAGGGGGCAAGCGUUGUCCGGAUUUAUUGGGCGUAAAGAGCGUGUAGGCGGCCAUACAGGUCAGCUGUGAAAACUCGAGGCUCAACCUCGAGACGUCGGUUGAAACCGUAUGGCUAGAGUCCGGAAGAGGAGAGUGGAAUUCCCGGUGUAGCGGUGAAAUGCGCAGAUAUCGGGAAGAACACCCGUGGCGAAGGCGGCUCUCUGGGACGGUACUGACGCUGAGACGCGAAAGCGUGGGGAGCGAUCCGG